UAUAGCCCAGUGGGCAGGCAUAUAGCCGAAAAACUGUAGGAGACGGGUUCAAUUCCUGCCAGGUG
This 65-nucleotide transfer RNA is filed under the name Paramoeba aestuarina. Lineage: Eukaryota; Discosea; Flabellinia; Dactylopodida; Paramoebidae. The record is from RNAcentral.